This 742-nucleotide ribosomal RNA is filed under the name uncultured bacterium. RNAcentral describes it as "bacterial SSU rRNA". It matches the Rfam family "Bacterial small subunit ribosomal RNA", at positions 128 to 906 of the family's 1533-position model. The record is from RNAcentral.
ACCAUAUAGUAAGGGAUAACAGUUGGAAACGACUGCUAAUACCAUAUACGCCCUUAGGGGGAAAGAUUUAUCGCUAUAUGAUGAGCCCGCGUAAGAUUAGCUAGUUGGUGAGGUAAUGGCUCACCAAGGCUACGAUCUUUAGCUGGUCUGAGAGGAUGAUCAGCCACACUGGAACUGAGACACGGUCCAGACUCCUACGGGAGGCAGCAGUGGGGAAUAUUGGACAAUGGGCGCAAGCCUGAUCCAGCCAUGCCGCGUGAAUGAUGAAGGCCUUAGGGUUGUAAAGUUCUUUCGCUAUCGAGGAUAAUGACUGUAGAUAGAUAAGAAGCCCCGGCUAACUUCGUGCCAGCAGCCGCGGUAAUACGAAGGGGGCUAGCGUUGUUCGGAAUCACUGGGCGUAAAGCGCGCGUAGGCGGCUAUUCAAGUCAGAGGUGAAAUCCCAGAGCUCAACUUUGGAACUGCCUUUGAAACUGUAUAGCUGGAGUGUUGGAGGGGAUAGCGGAAUUCCUAGUGUAGAGGUGAAAUUCGUAGAUACUAGGAGGAACACCGGUGGCGAAGGCGGCUAUCUGGACAACAACUGACGCUGAGGCGCGAAAGCGUGGGUAUCAAACAGGAUUAGAUACCCUGGUAGUCCACGCUGUAAACGAUGAGUGCUAGCUGUCGGGCCCUUAGGGUUCGGUGGCGCUGCUAACGCAUUAAGCACUCCGCCUGGGGAGUACGGUCGCAAGAUUAAAACUCAAAG